GGCAUUGGGUAGAUGGGUGUUUAGAUGGGGUGAGGUAGGUGGGUAAGGGGGUGGGUGGUUCGGCUGAUGGCAAGACUAGAUGACUUGGGCCAAUGCACACCUGUCUUCUCCCGGCUGCUCUGAGUAGCAAGCACCUGCCCCACAGGAUGCAGUUAGCCGAAUUUUAAAUUGAGCCCGUGUCAUUCGCUAAUUAUUCCCUGCGGGUCUCACCUCCUUCAUGGAAGGGGAAACGCCUUCUCCUCUGUCUCUCCCAUCACUCCCGUGCCUCUAUUUUUGGAGCUAAAACUCAGGACAUCUGGUCCGACGAGGAAGAGGUACUCCUCGGACAGGAGGACAAGUGAAUCAGGGCUGCCCCGGGACUGCGAGGUCCUGCCUCCCAGACCAGCCUAAAGAGCGUCAUGUGUAUGCCACAUAGGAACCCCAGAAAUCUCAAACGGAAACAGGCAGGGGAGAGCUUGCUGGAGAAGCCUAUGACAAUGGGCCAGGCCAGGCCUGGAGAUCCCCAAGGAGUCCUGCAUGCUCUAGCCCUCAAGGCCCUUGGAAUAGGAAGAAGCCUCCUUAGAAAAGGAAGACAUCGGACGCCAGAGAAAAUAAGGCCAGUGGGACAGUAUAACAGGACUUCGGAUGUUCAGAGGGGAGUGGAACAGCCCUCAUGGGCUCCCAGUGUUUGUACACACGGUGCGUACAUGUGCACACAGAUGCAUGCAUGCUCAGAGAAAGGCCUCCAGAAAUUGCCCUAACUUGGUCCUGCUUUCAUGGAAAUCCACUUCCAUGGACACCUGGGGGCAAGAGGGACUGUCCCCUGCCUGCCAAAUACUUCCAGGUCCCCUCCAUACACCUCUGCCCCUCUCAGGGUAGAGUGGAGCUACCCUCCGUCUGGUUUCCUGCAGCCAGACUCACAUCAAGUUCUGCCUCUGCCUCCUGCCACUGCUUAACCUUGCACAAGUCCCUUUGCUUCCCCGAGCCUCAGUUUUCUCAUCUGUAAAAUGAAGGGCGGGCCUGGAGAGUCCCCGAGGCCCUCUGCAGCGCUAGCAUCUGGACCGUGGGGGGCUGCUGGGCUCUCAGGUGGAGACAAUUUCCCAGAUCACUGAGCCCCACCUGGCCACCGUUGUACGAGGGCCUCCCCUGGGCAUUGGCCGUCUGGAAACACCGCCAUCCACCUUUGUGAAUAUCUGGUUAAAACACUCACCUAAUCCUAACCUAAUCCUUUCAAUUUGGGGAGAGAAUUGAAGAAAAAAAACGCUAGCAGCCUGAAGCCUGAAUGCUAACAGAUGGGUAAAAAGUAUGUAUAAAUUACACCCGCUGCUGUCAAUUCAAGCUCUCCAGAUAAAGUGAUAUGAAAGGUGUUUCAUUUAUAGGGGAAAUUAAUUGCCAGCUGUAUGACGGGAUGGUGUGAAGGAACCACAGCCACAUGAUGUGUCCCAUAUAUUUUUCCUGGCUGGAUUCAGUAACUUCCGUGCCAAGGGCUCCCACUCGACUCCAGACCUGGGGGGCCACCAGGGUAACAUGACUCUACACCAACUGUUCCCAAGUUAGGGUGCAGCCAGGGAAGCAUCAGACGUGGUGGGCACACAGGGCAUUGGGAGGCCGAGUGGCCUCCUCCCCUCCACCAGCCUGACCUCAUGGGCCUCCAUUUCCUCAGGGCGGCUACUUAAGGUGGGUCUCAUGUUGUGGUGAAGAGAUGUCUUCUAGUCCGUCUGUGCCCAGACCAGACCACAUGGCAGUCAUCUCUGUGUCCCUCCCCAUCAUGCCAAGCACCCUCGCACAUCUGUUAUGUCAACAGAGAACACUGGCAUCUGGGAAACAUAGUUUAUUCUUGUGACCACCCACACUGCACCCUCUAGUCUCAGUCUCCAUACCUGUAAAGUGAGUCUGUUUUAGCUUGGGCUGCCGUAAUGAACUACUACUGACCGGGUGCCUUAAACAAAAGACAUUUCUUUCUCAAGGUUCUGGAGGCAGGGAAGUCCAAGAUCAAGGUGCUGGCAGAUGGAGAUCCUGGGGAGAGCCCCCUUCCUGGCUUGCAGAGGGCCGCUGGGCCCUCACCUGUGCCCUCACCUGGUGGAAAGAGAGAACUCUGGUCUCUUCCUCUUCCUACAAAGGCAUUCAUCCCAUCACGGAGCCCCAUCUAAACCUGAUCACCUCCGAGAGGCCCCACCUCCAAAUACCAUCACACCGGGGGGUCAGGGUCUCAAUAUAUGAAUCUGGGGGGUCGCAAAACUUCAGUCAUAGGAGGGGCACUUAGCUGGAAUGUCCACACUUCCUGUGCCAGUGUGCUACUCGGCAUAUGAGUCUCAUCAUUCCUGUCACGAAGAGAGACCAGGAGGCUCUCUUUGGAGGAAAUGGAAGCAGCAAGGAUGGGCCUGGUGCCUGCCUGAGUGGUCUUCCUCCGAGAUUAUUUAUGAGGAAAGGAGGUGGGCCUCCCAGGGAGAGGCUACCUUCCUGGGACUUCCUUUGGAAGACUGGGACAAAGGAUGUGGCCGGGGCGGGGAGGUGGUGUUCUGGUAAAGCCAAGACAGUUUGCACCCCGUGACCCUCGUUUCCGUGGGACCUGCCCCAUGGCCAACCCCACUAAAAGCGCCCUCAGGAUCGCUUGGUGAAGACGGCCUUAUCCCAGAAUCAUUUCUGAGGAGGGCAGACUGAGGUUCUGAGAGGCCUCCCAGCUCUCAGACCACUGGUCGGUGGCCAUGCAGAAACUGGCCCUAGUGCUCUGGCCCCGUAAGCCUCCAGUUUGGGAAACUGCUCCCUUUCCUCCUUUCCCUGCCAUCUCCUCCUUUACUUCUUGGGUGGGAGGUGGGCCUGGGGUGCGGGGAGGAGUCUCCACCCCAGCCCCCAGCCCCAUCACGCACCCACCCAUCAGCUGCUUGUAGGCGGUGGGGUCUUCACGUUCUACCUAGGGAGGGGGACAAAGGGUAGGCUUUCCAUCCUGUGCCCCUGCAAGCAUUUAUCAGAACUAUUAAGACAAUGAGCUAAUAUUCUAUUCGGAUUUAAAUAAUAAAUUAAUCUGCAUUAUACUGAGGAGACCUGAGAGAGACUUAAUUAUCUGGUGUACUUUAGGGUGGAAAGGAAGGUUGGGGACCGUGCUGGGAAUAGACAAAGUUAUCCGUGAUCACACAGAUGCGGGAGCUUAAAUGCCAGCCCCGGGCUGACAGAGUAGGGAAGUGUCCCCACUCUGCCUAGCCCCGAAACUCCCUCCCUCCCACAUCAUGGGGAGGGUGCCUCUGUCUCUGACCAUCCCUCCCAGGCCCCCCCACCCCGGGGAAUACAGAUUCUCACAUCAAUUGUCCUAAGCCUGAAGCAGGCAGCAGCCCAGGAGAGGAAUUAGGAAUCAGAGACCCUUUACAGACCCAAGUGUUUGCUGGAGAUGUGCCAGGCCGUGGUGUCCUCACCAGUCAAAAGGGAUAACAGAACGCUCCCUGGAGGGCUGGGGCAGACAGCUCUGCCUGGCGCACAAUCCCACCUCUGCGGCUUCAUCGCUGUGUGACCUUAGGCGGCCUAAUUUACUUCUCUGGGCCUCAGUCUCCACAUCUGUGAAAUGAGGGUGCCGCCAUCUGUGUCCAGGCUGACAGGAGGCUUAGAAGCUGCAAGGUGUGCCGCUUCAGCGCAGCGCCCACGGGCAGGAAGCCCUCAGGAAACGAGGAGGCGCAGAUGCGAGUCUAAAGUGGGAGCAUUUGAGGAGCACAGUGAGCUGUGCCGGGUGAGUCUGCGGUUACCCCGUCUUACACAGACUUAGCUUAUCCUUGAGCAGGGUUGGAGAGCUGGCGCUCGCGUUCUUCAGCUAAGCUAGCGAGCCCCAGGCCUGUGGUUAAUUUUUUUCUUUCCCCUGGCUGGUUCCUGCCACUCCCUGGGAGCGGAGCUUUUCACACCCUGAGCCAGCCUGCCCGAGAGAGAGAGAGAGAGAGAGAGAGAGAGAGAGAGGACUAUUUUCAGCUCAGCAGCUACAGCAACAAAGAUGUGAAGUCACUCCUGCUGCCUCCAGCUCACCCUGCCUGCCCUCCCCGGCCCAGGGGAGAGGUGAGUGAGAGGCAGGUGGGCUGCGGCCUGGGGGUCCUGGAGCACCCCCGCCCACCCACAGCCCCUCCAUCCCGUGGCCCCGGAGAAGCACCGCUCCCUGUCCAUCCUGGGCCAUAUCCACUAGUUCUCUUUCCCUCCCUGCAGCUCUCAAAGUUGAGAUGGGGCUCUGCCUGGGACAUUGGGGUCCUCCUGGGGUCUGUCCCUCCGGAAGACACCAGGAUGGGCUAGGGAGCCGAGGGCCAGGGUGUCCGUGGAGGUUGAAGCAAAGGGCGUGCCCUCCUGUGCAGGGAGCUGCCUGGGAGCUGGGUGUGUAGCUGGGAGGUAGGUGUGCGUGAUGACGUGGGGGCAGCGGGAGGCACCUGAGAGAUGAAUCAUCGCAGAGAACCCAGGCGAGUGGGUGUUGCCGAGAUCCUGAGCUGGGAAGAACUUGAUCAUUUGUUAGGUUCAAACCCUGUCAGUUGUCUCAGUCAGGCUGCCAAGAAAACUAAGGAUUGGAGACCUUCCUAAGACGAGAGAGAAACUUAGCGGCCAAGGGAACUGAAAUCAGACAGGACGCACAGGAGCUACUGCUGGCUGUGGAGCGGAGGUUGCGGUGGCCUCACACACCCAGACUAGAACUACAGGCAACAGUGCCCUGAUGCAUCAGACACAUAAGCCAGAAGCACCCCCCCACACCCCCAACACACACACACACACACACACACACACACACACACACACACUAUCCUGGUAUCCUGGCCUGGAGAACAGGGCUGCAAGCUGUCACUGGUCCACCAAAUAAACCCAGGGGGUCCUGUGAGACAUGCCAACCCCAUGGCUUCUAGAUGCUCCUGUUCUUCACUUGGAGAAAAGUCAGCAGGAAGAGUUCCUCCUUAUCUCAGCUCAACUAAAACGGGGAUUUGUCCACAGGCAGCCAGGAUGCUGAGGGUCCAAGUCCUAAAAUAUGGGGUCUGGUGAGAACACCACCCUCCCAUCCCCCAAAGGGGGACCAAGACAAGCGCUGACAGCGGCUGGGAGAGACGGGAGCCACCUUGAGAGAGGGCAGGACCCUCACCACAUCCUGUGGACUUGUCAUUCCUCCCACCUGGGGUUUUGGAGGAGGUGGUCCAAAGAUCUGGGUCUCCACUGCCACCACAGCCAAGCUGCCAUCCUCGCCCAUGGCAGACAAGGGACUAAGGCACGUGCUAUCCCUGCUGAGGACAUCAGCAGGGAAGAAAAGUGGGGGCCGGAGCUAGGGGCCAGUGUUCCAGGGUGGCCUUGGUGGCUGUGUCCCCAGCUAGACACUGGGGAGACUUGGGAGAUUCAGUACAGGGACAAGAGUCUCCCCCCACUCCCUCUGCUGAGAUAGGCAGAGGUGGUAGGUGUUCUUCCAUCAUAGCUGUGGUCUCCCAACACAUCCCACUGUGAUGCAGUCCCCAAAGACCUGGGCUUCUGGUGCCUCCUGUCAACCCACUGGAGAGGAGAAGCACCAGCACGCCCCCAGGCCCACCUCCCCUCUGCACAACACGCCUUGCUGGGGUAAUGAAGCAAUUGACCCCACUCUCAGGGGUGGGAAGGACAGGAAGAUCCACAGCCAAGCCCUCUGUUUUGUCAGCUUCUGCCCUUGGGGACAGGAGCCCCAGAAGGCCCCCCCCACAAAGAAGAUGAUGGGUGACUGUGCCCCCUCCCCCAGAUGAGUAGCAGGAGUGACCCUGGGCUUCCAACCAUUGGUGGGCUUUGUUGGAUGAUCCUUGGAAGUCAAAUCCCAGUGUCACAACUGCAAUUAAUAGAGUGCAGAUGCCAGAAACCAGACUCCAGAACUUUCCUUGAGCAUUGCACCCAGAAAUGGGUGCUCCUUCAUCCUCAGAGUAACCCAAGGCCUUGUUGUUUAAGCCUGUCAUUGGGCAGCCAAUCACGUAUGCCCUUGAAACAUCACUUUUCUUUUUAUUCGGCACUAUUAAUUAACUCUUGUAUUAUUAAUUCGCUUUUUAUGGUUUAUGUUUCAGAGUUUAUGUGCAGCUUCUCUUCUGCCCAACAAAACUAUAAGCUCCAUGAAGCCAGACACCAAGCCUUAUUUUUGUCUGUCUUACCCGUGGCAACUAGCAUGCUAAAUAGUGCCUUAUGUGUAGUGAGUGCUCAAUAGGAUUUCUCUAUUUAGAACCUUCCAGACUCAACCUCUUACAGGCAUUUCAAGUCCUGGAGGAGCUUGGCCAGUUUCAAAGACUGGUUUCAACAAACCCAGCCACCUUCCACGGCUCCAGACAUGUGCCACUCAGCCUACUUCUCUGUCUCUCCUUUCAUUCCAAAAGAGAUAGAUUCAUAAAACCUCAGAGAGAGGAUGAAACUUGGAAACCAGGUGGUCUGGUUUCGUACCAGCUGUAGGAGUACUCUCCCCAGCGUUUCUCCCAAAUGGUCAGUUGGUCUUUGUGUGCACGCGCCUUCCAACAGGGAUCGGGAUCUCCCCACUUGCCAGGCAGCCCAUUCUGUAGUUGGCCAGGGCUUAUGAGAUGUUCCAAGACACAGAUAGUUGUGGCCACCACGUGGCAUUUGGAGAUAGUUUCCUAAAACAAAGGUUCAAACAACAAUGGUUCUGUGGUCACUAGUGCUCUUAGUUGCUCACUGUGUGCUCUGCUGGUGUGACUUGUGUGACGGGGGCACAGACGGAGUGGAAGCUGUGAUCCUUGUGUCAAGCAGCAUUCAGUCUAUUUGGGGGGCAGACAAUGGGAAAAUGAUGGUCCUUUACAGAGGAAAACAUCAACUGCUACGUCACAGUGUAGGACUGCAGGCCACCGUGUCUGGGUCUUGUCCCCAUGUCACUUCUAACUGCUGGGUGCUUUGGAACAGCUCCUUCCCUAGGCAGGGGCCUAGUGUCUCCACCUGCAGAAAGAAGGGGUGGGUUCAGAUGAUCUCCCAAACUUCUUCUGGCUCUCGCAGUCCUGGAAGCACCCUAACUUCUUUUUUUUAAAUUAUUUUUUUACCUUUAUUUAUUUUUGAAAGACAGAGAGAGACAGAGCACAAGUGGGGGAGGGGCAGAGAGAGAAGGAGACACAGAAUCCGAAGCAGGCUCCAGGCUCCCAGCUGUCAGCACAGAGCCCGAUGCGGGGCUCAAACUCAUGGACUGUGAGAUCAUGACCUGAGCCGAAGUCGGACGCCCAACCGACUGAGCCACCCAGGCGCCCCAAGAAGCACCCUAACUUCUUAAGGAGACAUCAGCACAGGAGGCACUGAACUUGAGAAGGUAGAGGGGUGGCACCCCACUGUGCACAUCCCAGACACAUGUUACGUCACUCCAACAGCAGGCAGUGUCUGGUUCAUUCUGUCCGUUGGACAUACAUAGAGUGCCGGAGGCACGUGUGGGUGGCAAUAGAAUUCCUGUGAUGUGCCUACCCCGGAUGGAGACAGGAGCCGGGCAUUCGAAAGAAACUUAGCAGUAGUGAGUUGCAAGCUUCCUUCUAACCAGGAGCAAAUGGAAAGAGCAUAGAAUAUAAAGAGUAUAAAGGUGCUGAGAGGCCAUAGUAAGAAAAGCCUUGGAGGCAGGAAGUCUCUUCCUACAACAGGCGACUAUUGAGGAGGGUACAAGCAGGAAGUGGGAGAUGCUGGCCAUGUCUCUGGGGUAGAGCCAGUCUCUCCACACACGGAGGACUCACCAGGGCGGCAGCCAUAUACAGGCAUGCAUCCUGGUGGCUGUCCUUGGGGGCAGUCCAAGAGAUGACCCUGAAGCAGUAAGAGAGAGUCCCCUCGUUCUCAGGUAUGACACCCAGUGCCGCUCUUUGUAUGGACAUUUUUACCAUUUUACAAUGGCACACCAGCUUGCGUAGCAGCAUACCAGUCUCACGAUCCCUGCCGCUGGGGGUGGCUUUGCCUGAUCCACACACGAGCGGCCUUCGGCAAGCAUGGUUUGCAGCCGUUGUUUAUAAAGUUGGAGGAUGGGAUAGCCCAGCCAUGA
Molecule: long non-coding RNA, 7936 nt
Organism: Felis catus (domestic cat)
Lineage: Eukaryota; Metazoa; Chordata; Mammalia; Carnivora; Felidae
Exons: 2
Source: RefSeq, a predicted model, not a curated record